GUUGAACGCUGGCGGCAUGCUUUACACAUGCAAGUCGAACGGUAACAGGCCUCUGGGUGCUGACGUGAGCGGCGCGGGGGUGUAAUGUACCGGAAAGUCUCCCGGGGAGGGGGAUAACACGGCGGAAGCUGGGCUAUAAUCCCGCGUGCGCCCUGGGGGAAAGCGGGGGACAGCGUAGCACUGUUCGCCCUCGCGCCAUUGGAGCGGCCGAUGUCGGAUUAGCUAGUUGGUGGGGUAAAGGCCUACCAAGGCGACGAUCCGUAGCUGGUCUGAGAGGACGACCAGUCACACUGGGACUGAGACACGGCCCAGACUCCUACGGGAGGCAGCAGUGGGGAAUUUUGGACAAUGGGCGCAAGCCUGAUCCAGCAAUGCCGCGUGCGGGAAGAAGGCCUUCGGGUUGUAAAGCGCUUUAGGCAGGAAGGAAGCGGAGUCCGCUAAUACCGUGCGCUAAUGACGUUACCAGCAGAAUAAGCACCGGCUAACUACGUG
RNAcentral lists this ribosomal RNA (492 nucleotides) under uncultured bacterium. Its description in RNAcentral is "partial 16S ribosomal RNA". It matches the Rfam family "Bacterial small subunit ribosomal RNA", at positions 28 to 507 of the family's 1533-position model. The record is from RNAcentral.